RNAcentral lists this ribosomal RNA (787 nucleotides) under uncultured bacterium. RNAcentral describes it as "bacterial SSU rRNA". It matches the Rfam family "Bacterial small subunit ribosomal RNA", at positions 59 to 860 of the family's 1533-position model. The record is from RNAcentral.
CAGUCGACGAGCGAGAGAGAGCUUACUUUCUCAAGCGAGUGGCGAACGGGUGCGUAACGCGUGAGGAACCUGCCUCAAAGAGGGGGACAACAGUUGGAAACGACUGCUAAUACCGCAUAAGCCCACGACCCGGCAUCGGGUAGAGGGAAAAGGAGCAAUCCGCUUUGAGAUGGCCUCGCGUCCGAUUAGCUAGUUGGUGAGGUAACGGCCCACCAAGGCGACGAUCGGUAGCCGGACUGAGAGGUUGAACGGCCACAUUGGGACUGAGACACGGCCCAGACUCCUACGGGAGGCAGCAGUGGGGAAUAUUGCACAAUGGGGGAAACCCUGAUGCAGCGACGCCGCGUGGAGGAAGAAGGUCUUCGGAUUGUAAACUCCUGUUGUUGAGGAAGAUAAUGACGGUACUCAACAAGGAAGUGACGGCUAACUACGUGCCAGCAGCCGCGGUAAAACGUAGGUCACAAGCGUUGUCCGGAAUUACUGGGUGUAAAGGGAGCGCAGGCGGGAAGACAAGUUGGAAGUGAAAUCCAUGGGCUCAACCCAUGAACUGCUUUCAAAACUGUUUUUCUUGAGUAGUGCAGAGGUAGGCGGAAUUCCCGGUGUAGCGGUGGAAUGCGUAGAUAUCGGGAGGAACACCAGUGGCGAAGGCGGCCUACUGGGCACCAACUGACGCUGAGGCUCGAAAGUGUGGGUAGCAAACAGGAUUAGAUACCCUGGUAGUCCACACUGUAAACGAUGAUUACUAGGUGUUGGAGGAUUGACCCCUUCAGUGCCGCAGUUAACACAA